RNAcentral lists this non-coding RNA (25 nucleotides) under Mus musculus (house mouse). Lineage: Eukaryota; Metazoa; Chordata; Mammalia; Rodentia; Muridae. The record is from RNAcentral.
UGAAAAAGAGCAGUGUUUGUGUUGA